Molecule: ribosomal RNA, 78 nt
Filed under: Alkalibaculum bacchi
Lineage: Bacteria; Bacillati; Bacillota; Clostridia; Eubacteriales; Eubacteriaceae
Source: RNAcentral
UUCCGCGGCAAUAGCGGAGGGGCUACACCUGUUCCCAUACCGAACACAGAAGUAAAGUCCUCCAGCGCCGAAGGUACU